GAUGAAGAACGUAGCGAAAUGCGAUACAUAGUGUGAAUUGCAGAAUUCAGUGAAUCAUCGAAUCUUUGAACGCACAUUGCACCUCUCGGUAUUCCGGGAGGUAUGCCUGUUCGAGCGUCAUUUGUACCCUCAAGCUCUGCUUGGUGUUGGGUGUUUGUUCCGCCUCUGUGUGUGAACUCGCCUCAAAACAAUUGGCAGCCGGCGUACUUGUUUCGGAGCGCAGCACAUUUUGCGAUCCAGAUCAACGUACAGCGGCAUCCAAGAAGCCUUAUUUAACGCUCUUGACCUCGGAUCAGGUAGGGAUACCCGCUGAACUUAAGCAUAUCAAUAAGCGGAGGA
This 339-nucleotide unclassified non-coding RNA is filed under the name soil metagenome. Its description in RNAcentral is "partial contains 5.8S ribosomal RNA, internal transcribed spacer 2, and large subunit ribosomal RNA". The stretch from base 1 to 120 matches the Rfam family "5.8S ribosomal RNA", at positions 35 to 154 of the family's 154-position model. The record is from RNAcentral.